CGUGAGUAACCUGCCUCUAAGAGGGGAAGUAACAUUCUGAAAAGAAUGCUAAUACCGCAUAACAUAUAUUUAUCGCAUGGUAGAUAUAUCAAAGAUUUAUCGCUUAGAGAUGGACUCGCGUCCGAUUAGUUAGUUGGUGAGGUAACGGCUCACCAAGACUGCGAUCGGUAGCCGGACUGAGAGGUUGAACGGCCACAUUGGGACUGAGACACGGCCCAG
RNAcentral lists this ribosomal RNA (219 nucleotides) under uncultured bacterium. Its description in RNAcentral is "partial 16S ribosomal RNA". It matches the Rfam family "Bacterial small subunit ribosomal RNA", at positions 116 to 334 of the family's 1533-position model. The record is from RNAcentral.